UCAUUUCACACACUUCAUUUCUCUUCCAUUUUCACUUUUUAGAGAGAGAAUUUUAGAGUGAGAGAGAAGAAAUUUUAGAGAGAGAAAGAAGUAAGGAAGAAGGAGGAAAACAGGAGUUUUGCAAGCUUAUUCAAGGGAUUUCUAUAAGUCUUUUCCUCCACAUCUAAACGAUUAAUCGACUCAGUUUUGGUAAUGAAUUCUUUAGUAUUUUAAUCUACAUUUAUAGGUGCCAUUUUUAGUUAAUUAAUUUGGUGAAAUUAGAUAUUUAUUGAAACAGAUUUUUAUGCUUGUUUGGUGAUUUAUUUUUUUAUCAUCAUUCACAAUAAAUGUGUUAUAAUAACGAUUUGAGAACAUGUGGGAUUGACCCUUUGUUUUACCAUUGGUAAUGGCAAAGAGGGUUAUUCUAAGGAGUUCAAGCUUUAAAGAAUAUCUCGAUGAUAAAAUUCAGGUAAAAUGGGCCUUUGGCCUAAUAUGUUGCUGAACCCACACCAAGUUAUGGAUGUGAGGUAUGAUACAUGAUAGUGUGCCUUAUAACUAUGAUACAUGAAUUGCCACAAUAUUUAACAUUUAGUAUUGUUAAACAUAUUGGUUUGAUGUAUAAGUCUUUAUGGUGAUUGACAGUGUUUACAAUGUGAUAUUAGAUACCCCAAAUUUGGUGUUAAGGGUGUCAAUCUACAUCAAGGAAGAAUCCAGCUGGUCCUGACUCAAACAGAAAAGCAAGUUCUAGUUUUCUAAAUAAGAGCGCCAAAAAUAAAAAAAUAAUUUCAUCCUUAACUACUUUCCUAAUUGGGAUUAUUCCAAGUGGGUGACGUUCGUUCAAGCCAAAAGACUUAAGGUUCAAGUGAAAUUAAUGGGCUAGAAGAAUUGUAAAAAAACCCACACUUGAGGAAGAUGGUCCACAUGCAUGCACCAUGUGCAUACGUGUCGCAAGGCUUGCAUGCAUACGGGUUCAGGCUGGGCAACAACCUCGCCCACACAGCCCAAGAGGCCCCCGAGCCUUGCACAUGGAAUCAGUCGCGUGGAAGGGCCUGAAGCUAGCCCAGUGCAUGACCUGUGGCCCAACCUGUAGGCUCGCCAAGCGUGAUCCACACGGGCUGGCUGGCCCAACCCGUCCGGGUUGUCCAAAAUUGGCCCUACCCAUCUUUUUAAUUAAUUAAUAUUUUUACUUUAUUAUUUUAAGGCUUUGGGACCUAAUUUUUAAUUACCCAUUUUUUAAAAUUAAAAUCUCACAUGUCUAAAUUAAUUUUCCCAUGCGUUUUACAUGGAAAUCACAUGGGAUAAGUCUUAUCUUAUUUUAAUUAUUAUUUUAUUAUAAAUCUAUCUUUAGGAUUAUUUUAAUUAAUUAUCUUGUAUUUAGAUGGGAUAGAAUAAAUAUUUUAUUAUGGGAUUAGAUGACAUUUUAUCUAAAAUAUUAUUUUAUUCCAAAAGUUUGUACUCAUAUAGAUUGCUCGAGAAAAAAAGGUUAUAAAUAGGUCUUUGCCUUAUAAAUAGGAAUUUACCUAUAUGUUGUAAACAACACUAAUUGCAAUCAAUUUGAGAGAAUUCUUAAAAGUUUAGGCAUUUCUUCUUUUUAGUAUUUUUGCUAAAUUAGUUUCUUCAAGUUCUUCAGGAAGCAUGAGUCUUUAAAAGUUUUAUUGAGCCAAUGAGUGGGAAUUAACUUAUGGGUAAGUUAAUUGCAUUUUUUUUCCUUAUUUAUUUUUCCUACUCUUUGUUUUUUUGUUUUUGCAUUCCUUUUAGGAUUAUUGAUUCAAUUAGAGGGAGAUGUUGAUCUAGACAAUUAAAGUUUCAAUAUUGCAUAAUGUUGAGUGGGUUAUAAGAGUUAAUUUGAUCCUCCCUAUUAUGUCCUACGUUAGUUUAACCAUGGAAGUAGUGAACAUGAUGCAUGAAAAUGUGAUGAUUAGAAAUUGCAUGCGGGUUUGGCCCUUCACUUCACCUUAGUAAUGGUGAAGAGGGUUAUUCUAGUUGACCUUGAUUCAAGAGGAUGAUCCGAAGGUCAAAUCAGGGUAAGAUGUGGUCUUCAGGUCAGAUGCGUGAAAUGUGCCUUUAGACCUAAUAUGGACCUUCGGGCCGGAUACGUGAAAUGAGCCUUUGGCCUGGAUAAGUUGUGGAAUCCUUAUCGGGUUUGAAAAUGGUUGCAUUUAACAUGUAGUAUGCAUAUGAAAAGAAUAUGAAUUAUUGUGAGCAUGAAAUAAACAAGUAAAAAGAAUAGAAAAAUUUGUUCAACAGUUAUCUCUAAGGAGUUUUUAUUUCUCAUUCCUUCGAAAAAGUAUUGGUGAACCAUUCCUUGUGAUGAUCACCGAUCCCUCUAACGAGAGAGGAUAUAUGUUAGGUACAUGUAGGGUCAAAGUGGUGAAGUAUGAUCGAGGUCAUAAUUUAGAUGGGAAAAUGAAAUAAAAUGAGAAUGGCUAAAACUGGGUCGGUGAUUCACAGCGGUAGUUGGGGAUCCCUUCUGCCCUAAAUGGAUAUAUAUUGUAACAGCUUCGCAUGAAGGUUAGUAAAAGACUUAAUAAAACCUAGUUGCAGAUAAGAACGUUGAUUAUAAUUCGUAUGAUAAUUUUUCUGUUUAGUGAGUAUGUUGCUCGUAUUAGUUGAAUCUCUAGAAUGAUCUAUAUGAUGAUUCUUCUGUUUAUUGAGUAUGCUACUCAUACUAUUUGAAUCUCUAUGAUGAUUUGUACGAUGGUUCUUCUGCUUAUUGAGUAUGUUGCUCGUGUUAAUUGAAUCUCUAUGAUGAUUUGUAUGAUGGUUCUUUUGUAUGCUACUCAUACUAGUUGAAUCUCUAUGAUGAUUAGUACAAUGAUUCUUUUGUAUGCUACUCGUACUAGUUGAAUCUUUAUGAUGAUUUGUACGAUAAUUCUUCUAUUUACUAAGUAAGCUGCUCGUACUAGUUAAAUCUCUAUGAUAAUUUGUACGAUGGUUCUUCUGUUUACUGAGUAUGUUGUUCGUAUUAAUUGAAUCUCUAUGAUCAUUUAUAUAAUGGUUCUUCUAUUUACUGGGCAUGUUGCUUGUACUAGUUAAAUCUCUAUGAUGAUUUGUAUGAUUGUUCUUCUAUUUACAAAGUAUGCUGUUUGUUUGAUUUCUAUUGGAUAUGUAAUACCUUCGGUUUUGCCAAAUGUGAUAAAACAUGUCUGUAUAGAUGUUGAAUAAUGGUGCUAAUAACUUGGUUAUGUAACUGUUUCACCAGAUUUCCUUAAUAAAAACAAAAGAAUUUUAUGAAUGAUUAAAUGACUUCAUCCCACGAAAGUUCUCCAAGGUAAGAGGUAAUAAAAUAUUAUUCAAGUUUUUUACUUUUUAAAACUUAAUCGUGUAUUUUAAAUACUAUUUUUCUUACUAAAUUUAUAUGUAACUCAACCCUAAUCCCUGUCCCCCAGAUAUUCAAGAAGUUGAGGAUCGUCUCUCUCGAGUUAUCAUGAAGUUUGACUAGACCCAUUCAAGGAUCCUUGACAAUUCUUUAGGACAUAAUUUGAGUGUAAUAGUUAUUUGCACUCUGAUAUAAAAAUCCUAUACGAACUUUACUUUUUGUAUUUAAUACUUGGGAUUGCCAAUUAUGCCCCCUUAAUGUAAGUUCUUAAAACUUAGUUUAUUCUGUAAAGAAUUUCUAUUUUCUUCUUCAAUGUCAAAAAAAAUGUUUUUAGCACUCAGAACUACUUAGGUAAUUGGCCCCCUUUUACUCACUCGGUAUUAGGGAUGUUACACCGUGCAUAUAAAAAGAGGAACUUGGAACAAGGAAGAGACAAGCCUAGAGGAGAAGAAACUACAAAAAAGAAAGAGAAAUGUUGUGUUUGCGUGAAAAAAAAAAGAGAAGAAGAAAGAGAAGGAAGAGUGGAAAAAAGAGAGGUUGAAGAUAUAUAUAUAUAUAUAUCUAUGUAUAUAU
This 3871-nucleotide long non-coding RNA is filed under the name Carica papaya (papaya). RNAcentral's name for it is "long non-coding RNA (CPAP_LNC009987)". Lineage: Eukaryota; Viridiplantae; Streptophyta; Magnoliopsida; Brassicales; Caricaceae. The record is from RNAcentral.